GAUCAUGGCUCAGGAUGAACGCUAGCUACAGGCUUAACACAUGCAAGUCGAGGGGCAGCAUUAGGUAGCAAUACUGAGAUGGCGACCGGCGCACGGGUGCGUAACGCGUAUCCAACCUUCCCGUUACUCUCGGAUAGCCUUCCGAAAGGGAGAUUAAUACGAGAUGGUGUUGAAAUUCCGCAUGUUAUUUCAACUAAAGAUUCAUCGGUAACGGAUGGGGAUGCGUGACAUUAGGUAGAUGGCGGGGUAACGGCCCACCAUGCCCACGAUGUCUAGGGGUUCUGAGAGGAAGGUCCCCCACACUGGAACUGAGACACGGUCCAGACUCCUACGGGAGGCAGCAGUGAGGAAUAUUGGUCAAUGGUCGGAAGACUGAACCAGCCAAGUAGCGUGAAGGAUGAAGGUUCUAUGGAUUGUAAACUUCUUUUAUACGGGAAUAAAACCACCUACGUGUAGGUGCUUGUAUGUACCGUAUGAAUAAGCAUCGGCUAACUCCGUG
Molecule: ribosomal RNA, 499 nt
Filed under: uncultured bacterium
Lineage: Bacteria
Description: bacterial SSU rRNA
Rfam family: Bacterial small subunit ribosomal RNA
Source: RNAcentral